This 336-nucleotide ribosomal RNA is filed under the name uncultured bacterium. RNAcentral's name for it is "bacterial SSU rRNA". It matches the Rfam family "Bacterial small subunit ribosomal RNA", at positions 8 to 334 of the family's 1533-position model. The record is from RNAcentral.
AGGGUUCGAUUAUGGCUCAGGAUGAACGCUGGCGGCGUGCCUAAUACAUGCAAGUAGAACGCUGAAGCUUGGUGCUUGCACCGAGCGGAUGAGUUGCGAACGGGUGAGUAACGCGUAGGUAACCUGCCUCUUAGCGGGGGAUAACUAUUGGAAACGAUAGCUAAUACCGCAUAAAAGUCGAUAUCGCAUGAUAUUGAUUUGAAAGGUGCAAUUGCAUCACUAAGAGAUGGACCUGCGUUGUAUUAGCUAGUUGGUGAGGUAACGGCUCACCAAGGCGACGAUACAUAGCCGACCUGAGAGGGUGAUCGGCCACACUGGGACUGAGACACGGCCCAG